UUUGUUGAUUUGUUUGAUUGGUUUACAUGUAUUGGGGGGUGUUUUUGUUUAGAAAGUUUUAUUCUUGCUUUAUUUUAGUCUUAUAGGAUGUGGUGUAUACAGGUUUAUUUAUUAAAUAUUGGGUUUUUUGUAGUAUUUGUUAUUGAAGAUCAAGUAAUUUUGGAUUCAGCGAUUUUUUUUUAGAAGGGGUUAAUGUCGUGCCAGCAACUGCGGUUAUACGUCGUCUUCAUGUCUAUAUUUUUUGGAUGCAUUUGUUGGUGUAGUAAUGGGAGUUGAAAUGUUGGUGGAAUAUUAUUUGGUCUGUUGCUUUAUUUAUUUUUGUUAGGGCUAUUUAUUAGACUAGGAUUAGAUACCCUAUUAUUUUAGAAGUAAUUAUUUUUGUCCAGGUUAGUAUAAGUUAGUUUGGGAAUCUAAAGAAUUUGGCGGCAUUCCAUCCUAUUAGAGGAACCUGUGCUGUAAAUGAUGUUACACGAUUUGCAUGGCUGUGUUUGUUGGUUUGUAUACUUCCGUUAUUAGAAUAUUUAUUGAUAAUAUUUUCGUGUUUUUUAAUAAAAAUUAAUUUCAGGUCAAGGUGCAGCUUAUGAUGCAGUAGUUAUGGGUUACAAUUUAAUUAUUUAUACGGAUAUAUUUUUAAAUUUUAUAUUGAAGGUGGAUUUAUUAGUAAGUUUUAAUAAUUAUUAAUUCUGAAUUGGUUAUGAUUUGUGUACAUAUCGCCCGUCGCUCCCGUUAUUGGGAUAAGUCGUAACAAAGUAGGUUUACUGGAAGGUGAGUCUGGUUU
RNAcentral lists this ribosomal RNA (778 nucleotides) under Falconius longicornis. Its description in RNAcentral is "12S ribosomal RNA". The record is from RNAcentral. Lineage: Eukaryota; Metazoa; Arthropoda; Insecta; Orthoptera; Tetrigidae.